GCAGUGGUAGUUUAGUGGUAGAAUUCUUGUUUCCAUGCAGGAGGCACAGGUUUGAUCCCUGGCCAAUGCG
This 70-nucleotide transfer RNA is filed under the name Loxodonta africana (African savanna elephant). It matches the Rfam family "tRNA". From Rfam's summary of the family: Transfer RNA (tRNA) molecules are approximately 80 nucleotides in length. Lineage: Eukaryota; Metazoa; Chordata; Mammalia; Proboscidea; Elephantidae. The record is from Rfam by way of RNAcentral.